Molecule: small nucleolar RNA, 110 nt
Organism: Lactuca sativa (garden lettuce)
Lineage: Eukaryota; Viridiplantae; Streptophyta; Magnoliopsida; Asterales; Asteraceae
Source: RefSeq, a predicted model, not a curated record
AGAUCACGUUGAUGACAACUCCUAAGCAACCUUUUUUUUUAUCUCUCUUAUGCUUCAUAUAGUGAUUCACCAUCGUUUUGUUGGAAAUUAGCAAUCUUCUUUUUGAGUUU